This 9655-nucleotide long non-coding RNA is filed under the name Brachypodium distachyon (stiff brome). RNAcentral's name for it is "long non-coding RNA (BDIS_LNC003953)". Lineage: Eukaryota; Viridiplantae; Streptophyta; Magnoliopsida; Poales; Poaceae. The record is from RNAcentral.
CCCCGGUCGAGAGUUCGGCUUCGGCCAUUCAUCUCCCUGAUCGCACCACACGUAGGACAAAAUCCCUUGCCGACUGCUUGUCGCCGGCCACCGCUACUCCUGCUCGGACGCUCCCCGCUCCCACACACGGCCAGCCGGCCCCAGGCGCUGCGCCGCACCCGCACGGCACAGUCAGCAAACAGCAGAGCAGGCCGCGGGAGGGGAAGGCCGCACCAGCACGGCGGCGCACGCAUUGUCGCGGCUCCAUCCAAUCAAGGUAAAUGUGUGCUGGAUCUCUAAAUAAAUCCGUACUAUUUGCAUUUUUCCUCACUUGAUUGGUAAGAAUAGUAAAUUUUGUGAUUAUAAUAAAAAUUUCAUCAUGAUCUACACCAUCAUCGGACACCAACCAAUACUGUAGAAGGAUAACCGAACCGAACCGAAAUUACAUGUAUGCUAAGAGUCCAAAUAAUCUGAGUACACCGAUAUGUGCAAUCUGCUGGAAACCAAUGUCGUUUUUUCCUUUUAAUCCUUUCAUUGUUGUCCACGUGUAGACAGAAACUUCCCGGAACUCAGAACUCGAAAAUUGCCGGAACUCGGAACUUGCCGGGACUCAAAACUUGACAGGAAGUUGGAUCUGAAUUGCUUGGCUUCACGUGCACACACAAAUCUCUUCUUCUUUUUUCUUUAAGUUGCUCACCGAGUAAACACUGGAAAUCUGAUACCAAGAUGAUAAGGGAUGGCUCGAUCUUCUCAGAGAGCAACGUGGAUAACUUGUAUGAUUCUACAAAUCUUCCGGCUGUUCACCCGUCGCCGCACGACGAACUUGCAACCCAAUGGAAAUUCGCAACACAACACACUUGCGCAGUAGUCUGCCGACCACAAGCGGUUUCGCAAUCUUCCAAUUCUCAGCGAAACGACAGAUUACGCUCGAAAUUUCAGUAGAUAACAAACACCCUAUCGAAACGAAUAUGGUGUAUAUGAUUCCAGAUGAAUGCUUCUCGCAAUCAACAAGAGUCUCGAAAAUAGCUAAAACGUGGUCUAACCCUAAACCUAGGCGUACCCCUUGUUUAUAUAGACGAGGAGUAGCCCAAACUCAAUACAGACUCCAACUCAAAUUCAAACUAGAAUUCGACUCAGACUCAAACUAGAACUGGAAUUCGACUCAAUACAGACUCCGACUCAAAUUCAAACUAGAAUUCGACUCAGACUCAAACUAGAACUGGAAUUCGACUCAAACUAGAAUUCAACUCAGACUCAAACAUGGGCUCGCAGAUCUGGGCACUCCUUAGACGUGUCGGACUCGUCGUAGGCUGUCCUAGUGUGCCUCAUAUUCGUACUCGACUUGUGGUGCAUCCUAGGCAUAUCAUCCUUGUCGUUGGCUGCCCCUUGCACACAAGACAUUCUUCUAACUUAUAUCCUUCAUCUUCACUUUUGGUGCGCCUGCCUCCCUCUCCUCCCUCCCGCAUAUCUUGAUGUUGGAUAUCAACACUUGAGGAUCCGUACCCUCAUCAGUUAGGCUCGAUGCUACUUGCGGCUCUAUCACUGGCCCAACAAGGAUGUCUAGAAGAGAAGCAAUUAUCUAACUAGCUAUAACUACGAAACCCCAACCAAUAUAGCACCACUACGCCAAUUUUAGUAUCCUCAUUCUCCAAUUUCCGGCUCCACCACUGGAUGGUUUCUUCAGCUUUUUAAGCUCUCAAAUGUAAGGUUUUUUCACCAUUUAAGAUCCCUAAAGUUAUUCAAAAGAUUUUGAUGAAAGUAUAUUUUGGUCCCUCAAUUGACAAAAAAGUCUAAAAACGAUUCAUAAACUUGAAAAUACUAUACAUUUGGUCCAUCAAUUGGCAAAACCCAAUUUUUUUUAUCCUUUUCCUGGAUUUGACCCCAUGUGGUUUCUUUUUCUUAGAUUUUUCAACAUCAGAUGUCACGAUGCCGUCCAGUUUCUCCUUGAGCUCGAAAUCGUAUGCGUUUAGCCUCUCGAUUGUGCAUCGUGACAUCUGAAGUGGAAAAGUCUGAUGGAAAAUUGCUCUAUGUGGAGUCAAAUGGAGUCAAAACCACUCAAUACGGUUCGAAUCCAGAAGAAAGACCAAAGUAUCUGGUUUUGUCAAUUGAGGGACCAAAAUAUACUUUUUUCAAUUGACCGUACUUUAUGAAACAACUUAAAAACUACAAGGACGAAUUUACCCUUUUCAGCUCAUAUUUAUUAUGGAAAAAGGCCUUUUUGUUCUUUGAGAGACUAGUUUCUCCUAUCUCCUCACAUUCUGUCCUCCACGUCAGUCAAGAAUUGAUGUGGUAUGCGAAAAAUGAAAAUCGAUGUUCCACCCUCUAAGAAAUAGUUGGGGGUGUAUUGUUCAGCAAUAUGCUCUUGCAAAUACAAAAUGCUAGUAGUCUGUACAAGUACAACACACGUUUUAAUACAACCACCUGGCUUAUAUCGUAAAGAUGUCUUACUUGAAACACAUGAUUUUACAAUGAAAAUAAGCCAACGGAGGACAAAGAGAUCGAGUAAAAGAAUCAAAAUAUAUUGGCAAACAUACAGAAAUUAAGAUCCCCUAGAUAAACUGUGUAAAUCCCUAUCCUACAAGUGUACUCCUUGAGGAGAUCCUUCUUAGGGGUCUUGCGAGCUCCAUUGACCCCGGGUAUGUGAGGGUGGGCGACCCGCGGGGUCAACCCUUGUUGCAUGCUUGAGCUGUUUUUCUGUUUUUUAGCUAGUCUUGUAAUUAUGAACUCCUCUCUCUAAUCUAAUGUCAAUCUACUGCCUUUUCUUAAAAAAAAUUACCAGUCUACUACUUGUACUUUAUAUCAAACAAUAAAUGAUGAUGCGCAUGCAUGCACUCUUAGGUAAAAUAAACGAUGCACUAUUAAUAUUACACAAGCGGUGUAUACAUGUAUAUAUUGACAUGGACAAAAAGAAAACUACUACAAUCUGCAUGCAUGAUAUUAGUAUGCAGUAGUAGUUUAUAAUUACACCAUGCAACAAUCAAGACCAAUAUUCUACAGCAGAAAACCGGGGAGCCCGACUUUCUUCCCCGUCUUCUUGACGUCCUCUUGCACCCUUCUCCGGUACUCCCCGAAUGUGAAGGUCCUGUAAGGGGAAGGCUCCUCGCAGGCGCCGAUGGGCGAGUCGUACGAUGGGCAAAGGAAGUAUGCCACGGAGUACCUCUCUGUCGUCGCGUUGGUUACCACUUUGUGCUCCACGCUCCUGUAUCGAUUGUUGCUCCAUGCCUUGACACGACAAAAACCAGAGCGGACAGUAAGAAAACCGACCUUUUAAACAAAAGAAAAUAGAAUUGCUUUUGUGCAUUUUGCCCCCUUUUCGAACAAGAAAAAAACACUGACUUUAAUUGCUCUGUUUGUAACUGUACCUUACAUGCUCGAUUCAGCGAUGAAACUAAAUCUACGGCUGUACGUAUAUAAUACUACUGAUCAAUAGGAAAAGGCAGUCUGCAGUAGAUCGGUUCCUUAGCUAGCGAAAGUUGCAACGUAUGUAACCAUGUGAGCAUCGUGGAUAGAGGUCUCGCUUUUGUAUAUCCAAUGUUUUCCUGUCCCCCCUGAACUCAGCGGAAUCCCUAGGCUUUAUGUUAGCGGCGGUACACAGCACAGCACAGCGAUAUACGCAAGUUGCGGAUAUGUAUGACACGGCAGCUUCCGCUUUUAGAGUGUCCGAGUACACUCCCCCCGGCAGAUGUUCACAGGUGCCGCACUUGUACGCAGCCAGCAUGUUACUGGAGCGUACACAAAUAAUCAAUCGCAUUCUGACUCGUCAAGUCAAGCUAGCUAUGGAUCGAGGCCGGCCGGCACUGCAGUGCACACGCACAUGUUUGUGUGUACCUUGUGAGUGGUGGAUCUUAAAGUAUAUUCUGAAUGCAUGAUUUCCUUUUUCGUAUGGAUAGCGAGAGGGCAAAUUAACUCUAGUCCUAGUUAAGCUAUGGAUGCAUGGCUCAUAUAUUGUCGUAAUGCUACACGUACGUACGGUAUACCUGAGUAAUAAAUACAGUAUAAGUAUAUGUCGACGUGUCCGUAGGUAUAUACGUACCUGGAAGAGGUCACCGAUGUUGACGAUGAGAGCGUUGGGGAUGGGCUUGACGGCGAGCCAGCGGGAGCCCUUCAUGAGCUGCAGGCCGCCGACUUGGUCCUGGCAGAGCACGGUGAGGAAGUCGCUGUCCGUGUGGGGCACGAGUCCGAAGGCGUCCGGCGAGAGCGGGCACGGCGGGUACCUGUUGAGCCGGAGGAAGCACGUCCUCUCGUCGCAACCCUCCGGGAACCGCUCCCCCGCGUGACCCAGCCUCUCAGCCAGCACGCGCGCCAGCGUGUUGGCCAGCUUUGACAUCGCCGUCGCCACCUCCUGCGUCACAUCCCUGCAACAUCAUAUCGAUCAGCUUGUGUCUUAAUUUGACUGUACUGGGUAGUAUUCCCUCCCUACUGAAAUAAGUACUUGUAUUUGCAUAAGAAUUUAUACAAAUUCACGUCACUUGUUUUAGACAGAGGGAGUAGUAAUGUUGUGUUGUGAAAUUUCUCCCACGCAUGUGACUAAGUUAAACUAGAUUAGUUACUGGCAUGCAGGGCUGGGCAGAAAAAGCGGGAACCGAACACCGAAACCGAACAAACCGAAAUCUCGGUUUUUUCUUGUUUGAUAGUCUUUUUCGGUUUUUGUUGUUGCUAACCGAAUUUAAUCGGCGGUUCGGUUUAUUGUUCGGUUAACCAGUUAACGAAAGAUGGGCCAGCCCAACUGGCAGCAGCAGCGGGACGCACCCCCUUGGCGGCCUGGCCCAUAGCAUCCAACGGCCCACAUCCCAACAACUAAGUAAGGCCAAGCAGCUACCAGAAGCGCCUCGUCCUCUCUCCCGAUCUCUUCCUCCCGUAGUCUCUCUCUGUCCCGUAAUCUCUCUCCAGUCUCCACGCAUCGUGCAGGCCUCACCUCGAGCACAGGCCGCCGUGAAUCCUGAGCCGUCUUCAGCCCGCGCGAAUUGGCCGGCGGCUGCCGCCUUUUCCCGCCCCCAAUCUGCCGAGUCGCCGAAGGUCGCAAGACUGCCAUGAAUCCCCGCCGCCGUCGUUGACCGCGACGCGCCAAAUCCUCCGCGGCGCCGCCGACUGCCCCGAAUCCACGCCACCUUGGUUGAACGCCGCGAAUCCCGUCGCCACAGCCAGCCCGCCAUGAAUCUCCGCCACUGUUGUCGACCGCGACGAGACUAAUCUUCCUCCGCCUGCUAAUCUCGGUAUAAACCGAAACCGAAUUUCCGGUUAACCGGAUUUUCGGUUUUUCAGUUUCAGGCGGUAAUUUCGGGUAACUCAUUUGCUAACCAGAUUGUGAAAAACCCCGAAAUAAAGAAACCGAAAAUUCGGUUUUUACCGAAUGCCCACCCCUGCUGGCAUGCAUCCUUGCCCGGAUCAAAACCCAAAUAUCCAAGGAACGUAGCUAUAAACGUACAAAAGUUCAGUCUGGUAGUAGCUUACCGGCCGUCACGAUCGAGUAGGUAUCGUUUUCACCACGAUAGGGCAUACUCAUGAUCUUAUUGUCAGGCACCCGAUAGAUACAUAUAUAGUUGAUAAGAAGUUGAUCGAGACAUCAUACACGGAGUAAUAAUAAUUAACAAGCUAACUAGAACUACUGCGUUUUUCCACAUCAGACACCGAGGGGUUUGGAUCUACUUCUUGACCACGCCAUGAUAACAUUCCGAUGAUGUUGCCAGGCCAGCUUAAUCGCCGUACGUUACUAAUCCAAUCCCUCCUUUUUACCGGGUGCAUGCUUAGUUAUUCGGCCGCACUAGUCAAUGUCGCCAUCAUAUUACCGUGACGGAAUAUUUUUUAGUUACCAAUCCCCGCGGGAUGGGAAAAGCUUAUUCCCGGCCGGUACUUGAGAAAUACCGGCGCUUCAGUGAAUGAGAAAAGGGAAAUCUGGAUCAGGAUCCAGGAGGCACACACACACAUGUCGAUCAAAGCAGCCUAUUACUUGAGAUCAGAGUUGCACGUAGUAUGUAGCUAGGAAGAAGGACGUUGAUUACCUGAGGGUGGUGAGUUGGCCGUAGUUGCAGGGCGGGUCGCCGGAGACGGCAGCGAGUGGAACGUGGAAGGCCUCGGACCAGGACAGCUGGGCGGGCGACGUGGCGGUCGGGGUGCCCCAGCGGUAGGAGUGGUUGAGCAGGCCGGCCGUGGCCUUGGCCUCGAACGGCAGGCGGAAGAGCCGCGUCUGCUCCCGCCGCAUCGCCUCCAGGAGCUCCUGCUUCACGCCGUGGUUCACCACCUGGAAGAAGCCCCAAUCCUCGGCCGCGCCCGCGAUCGCCGCCGCGCACGCCGCCCGCUCCUCCGCGCUGCCGCCACCCGUCGUCAGGCACCCGACGUCGAUCAUCGGGAGCUCGCACUCCGACACUGCCAUAUCGGGCGCAGGCAGAACGUGAUCGGCAUGCACCGUCGGCGUACAGUGCGCGUCUUUGUUCCGGCCGUCGGCGCCGGCCCGGCGAAGAAGCGCGUGGUAGCUGUCCGCCAGCGGCGGCUCGGCCGCGCUCUCGGCGAAGGCCGGCAUGGCUUGGCUUGGCUUGGCUUGGCAAGCUGUUCAAAUGAAUUCGCUAAGCGGGAGCUGUGAGUGGCAGUUUAUUAGCUGGGCGUGUGCACGCGCGCAAGCUUGCAGUGAUGGAGAGUUGGCUGUGGCUGUUCUUGGAUGCGAGCAGGGGUUAAGCCUUUAUAUAGGGGACGACGGAAGCCACUCGUGGGCAGCGAUGGAGCCUCGUUGAUUAAGCUGCUUGCAUGGGUGUGGCCCGCCCGAUGGAAUGCGGGUGUUUUAGACUUUAAAAGAGCAAGGGAGAAGGCUCGAUCGGGCUGGUAACAGCGCGGCACAGGCCGACACUUGGAGGCGACGCGGGCAAGCGUGGGGUGGUCCGCGUUUUCUGACUGGGCCGGCGAGCGACCCGUGCUUGUCAUUUCUCAAGAAAUGGAAAAUAAAAAACAAAAAACAAAAUUUGGGCGUGCAUGGCGAUGCGGACGGCUUAAAUUAAAUUUUUGCCUACUCUAAAAAGCAGGAGUAUCGUCCCCCUUUUAUAUCUCGCUACACAGUACACAGUGCGUGCGCGUACGUACGCAACAGUGCGAAUUUCCCCUAGUUAAUUCCGGCGCGGGGCUUCGGCCCCCACCCCGGCGGCACGUCGCUGUACGCGUGGUCUACCCGGAGCCCUACGCGCGCCUGCCGCGCGUCACCGCAUCUGCUUAUCAUACUAUGCUGCUCUCGUUCGUAUUUAGUGCGUAGUGUGAUGCUCGAUCAAGGACGUCAGCGCGCGAUGGUAGAUGGAGCAACAGGAGGAGAGUGGUGGAACACGGGUUGGGUGGAACCGAAUCUCUGCAGUAUCAUUAGAUUGGAAUGGCCAUCGAAUGGACUUUUUAAUUAUUAUUUUUCAUAUAACUUACUCUCACCGUUUCAUAAGCAAGUUCUUUCUAAAAUGAGCCAAGUACAUACAUCCGUAUCUAAACAAAACUAUGUCAAGAAUAUUGAACGGAGGGAGUAUACCGUUAGUUAAAUUGGUGACUUAGGAACACACACAAAUGUAUAAACAUAACGAUGGAGUAAAAGAAAUAUAACAAUAUUAUAAAUAUACUAUUAAGAUAUAUUUUCUCCUUUUUCACAAAGGUAGCAUAUUUGGUAUCGUUAAGACAAGACUUUUACCAAUGAUAACUCUAGUGAUAUGUAUUUUAUUUGGCACGAAACCAUAAUUAUUAGUAAGAAUUUUUGAAAACAAAUUUAUUGAUAAAAAUUUCAUGUAUGACAAAACACAUAUUAAUCUAGUAACAUUUGGUCAAAACGUACCUUUGUGAAAGGAAGGGAGUAUAUCAUGACAUUUAAUUAAUUUAGAGUUAUAAAUGUUGGUAAAUUUUUCUAUAAAUUUUGUCAUUUGGAAUAAAUAACCCAGGAUUAAACUAGUACAACUUAUACAUAUUCAGGAACAAAGUGACCACAUCGUCAUUCAGAAGAGAACCUAUAGGGAACAAAAAAUUUAUUGAAACUUAACUCCCCUACCGUCCUCUGAAAUAUAAGGUAUUCCGAUUUUAUCUUCAAUCAAACUUUAACCAAGGUAAUAGAAAAUAUACUAUAAUAUCUACAAUGCCAAAUAAGUAUACUAUGGAGAUAUAUAUAUUAUGACGAAUUUAAUAAAAUCUAUCUAGAGUUGUAGAUUUUUGUUGAUGGUUCUAUCAACUUGGUCAAAUUUCAAAAAGAGAAAGAAAAAUUAACUUAGAAUAUAGUCAAAACAUCUUAUAAUUUAGAAAGAAAAAAACACUACAGAAUAUGCUAUCUCACCAGGUACAAAAGGUCCAACUGUGGCGUUUAUAGCCGUCUACGGUAGAGCAAAUAAUAUUCUAUCCCAAUUAAUUAGAACAGAAGGAGUACAUUGAUUAAUCUAUCCCUGCACCCAGGGCGAAAGAUGCCACGCCAUCUUGCUUCAUGCUGCUCCUUUUUGCUGGGUGGGGCAUAUGGGUUGGUCUGCAGUUUGUAGCUAGAUUUGGUGGUUGGCAUAUGCAGAUUGAGUUGGUUCUGACCACCUCCACGUCAGAAAAGGCAUGACAGAAUUAAAAGAAAACACAGGGCUAGACUCCCAGGACCGGUCAUAUGAGCCAGGCAGAGAUAUUUCGGUCCCAGGAAGCUAUCUGCAAGUAUUCUGUCCGUCUGACUUUUUAUUACAUUUAUCUAGACAUAUUUAAGAUACAUACAUAAUUUUAUAUAAUUUUGAGUUACUUAAUAUGAAACGGAGGGAGUACAUUACAUUAUCGGAUGGACAAAUGGGCAAGCCUACUUCUUCGGGUUUCUUUUUUGAUAAAAACUUCUUCGGUUUUCUCUGUCCAGUUAAUUAGUGCGGAGUAACUAAUUUGUAACCCCUCCACUGAAAUGAUGUGUCCAUAAUGUUCAAAAUAAAGAGAGUAGUAGAAUACAAUAUAAGUAGGCAUGGACGGUUCUCAGAUGCAGAGAAGUACAUGCAGUACUGCGUCGAUGAGGCCGACUGACACGAUUUUUCUUACGGCUCGUCUGGCAACCAAGAAUUCAUUUCAUUGAUCAAAAUGAAAUGAAAUCCAAUUUUGAUAGGAUUUUAUUUGAUUAAAUUUGAAUUCUGGGUUGAAAAAUCAUGUUUGUCUACCACAUGGAAUUGAAGAGUGAGAUCCAAUUCUAAAAAAAGAUGGCUUUUAGAGAGGAAUUGAGACUAGUUAUAGUGUGAUUUCAUGAAAUUUGAGAUUGAAUUCCUGUGACUAAUUCUGUGCCAGCCAAACAAGUUGUUUUUUGAAAUUCAAAAUGAAUUCUAAAAUUCUAUACCCAAACGAUGGGUGCCAAACAAACUGUAAGAGUACGAAGAAGAAGAGACACCGUCGCUGCUACUACUUUUUAAGCAUCCGUACGUAACCAUCUAUACUGGCCGGGAGUCAAAAGCGUUUUAUAUAUACAAAAGCAUGUACUUGCCCGUCCGGCGCUGCUGACUUAACAGGUUGGAUAAUUAAGGAACAUGCUCCAUUGAGGAACAAAGGGAGUUGUCAAGGACGGCAGUUUGUUCCCUCCAUCCACUAGAGCAGACAAAACUUUCAAACAGCGGCUUUUCCGUAGCUAGUUUAGUUCAUACUCCGACCGAACCCAAGUAUUCUAACCCUACCUCUGUUUCCUAGCCGAUCUGAGAUUUGGCAUCCGAAGAAUCCAAUGGUUUCUUCUCAGCAA